AGAAAGAGCAGAAAGAAUGGAGUACCCAUGGCAGUUUGGGAGAAAAAAGGAAGCCAGCUCAAUUCCCACUCAGACACUCAGUGCCUGGUAGAGAGACAGACCUGUGGUUCAUGAAGUGAUUCCCAUGUAGCAGGCACUGGAAACACAGCAGUGAGAAAGGCGGAUGUGGCCAAGAACAUGCGAAGCUGGCAUGCUGACAUUCUAAGUGGAGAAGCAGACAAGAGAUAGGAAACAGGUACGGACACACUUCGAAGACACUGCGUGUUUGGUUCCAGACCAUUGCAGUAAAGCAAGUAUCGCAAUAAACUUCUGUGAACAUUCCAGUAGAAGUAUUUCUUUGGAUAAAUAUGUAGGAGUGUGAUUGUUGGAUCAUUUGGGUGGGGAUGGAGGAAUGGCAGCCUGAAUAUGAUACAUCCCUGCAACUUGGACACUGGCCUACCUGAAUCACGGACCAUAUGCUGCUCUCCCAGAGAUGACUCAAGUGGGCUCUAUGCAAAAUCAGCCCAACAAGCUUGUACUGAGUAUUAUGCAGGAUCUAUGUGAGAUAAAGCAAUGAUGUAGGACUGCCAAUCACCUGCCUUGCACAGCAGCUCAGAGAUGUUUGAAUUGUUAAUAAAAAAACUCUACCCUCAUCAUUCCA
Suricata suricatta (meerkat) is the source of this 640-nucleotide long non-coding RNA. RefSeq lists it as uncharacterized. NCBI's taxonomy places the organism in Eukaryota, Metazoa, Chordata, Mammalia, Carnivora, Herpestidae. The record is from RefSeq and is a predicted model, not a curated record. The transcript is spliced from 5 exons.